UGCUUCUCUUCCUUGAUGAAAAGGCAAAGCCAUCUCUGAUCUAUCAUGACUUAUCUAUUACAACUGUCUUUAAUCGAUAAGAUUGUUAGGAUUGAAUUAUGAGAUCUGUCUCAAUCUGCAGGAUUGAAUUGUCGCCUCAUCCGUUUCCUUCAAAAAAGAGAUAGAUAUAUACUGUUUUGGAAAGGAAAGAGAUGGGUUCUAUAAUCAGUGAAAACAGAAUGAACGAAGCAGAGAUGGAGGUGGUGAUGAACAAAACCAAAGAGAUCGUCUCCGAGUAACCAGUCGCUGUCUUCAGGUGAUGGAGGUGAGAUACAAUCAGCUUAUCUGAGUGGACAGGGCAGAGCACUGUUCCAAAUGUGUUCAUCAAAGGAAAACAUAUCGGUGGAUGUGAUAGUAAGAAAAAAAAAACUAUACGAACUCUCUGAACAUUUUAUGGAGAUAGACAGGUCGCUGGAAGAGCUAACUGAAUCUUUGGGUGUUUGUUUGCUUUUGUAUCAAGGAAAGCGAGCAUGUGUUAGUAUAACUUUUAACACAUAUUGUAUGUUAUACUUGACUUAUUAUUUCUAUUAAGUUUUCGGA
Molecule: long non-coding RNA, 579 nt
Organism: Brassica napus (rape)
Lineage: Eukaryota; Viridiplantae; Streptophyta; Magnoliopsida; Brassicales; Brassicaceae
Exons: 2
Source: RefSeq, a predicted model, not a curated record